Molecule: signal recognition particle RNA, 99 nt
Filed under: Prevotellaceae bacterium
Lineage: Bacteria; Pseudomonadati; Bacteroidota; Bacteroidia; Bacteroidales; Prevotellaceae
Description: signal recognition particle sRNA small type
Rfam family: Bacteroidales small SRP
About the family: The non-coding component of the signal recognition particle in Bacteroides
Source: RNAcentral
GGGUAAGUCUUACACGACCAGCUCCUGUUGAACCCUCCAGGGUCGGAAGGCAGCAAAGGUAAACGGUUGUAGCGGUGCGAUGUAAGUAGCUUACCCUUC